RNAcentral lists this ribosomal RNA (523 nucleotides) under uncultured bacterium. RNAcentral's name for it is "bacterial SSU rRNA". It matches the Rfam family "Bacterial small subunit ribosomal RNA", at positions 8 to 526 of the family's 1533-position model. The record is from RNAcentral.
AGAGUUUGAUCCUGGCUCAGAUUGAACGCUGGCGGCAUGCCUUACACAUGCAAGUCGAACGGCAGCACGGGAGCAAUCCUGGUGGCGAGUGGCGAACGGGUGAGUAAUAUAUCGGAACGUGCCCAGUAGUGGGGGAUAGCCCGGCGAAAGCCGGAUUAAUACCGCAUACGACCCAAGGGUGAAAGCGGGGGAUCGCAAGACCUCGCGCUAUUGGAGCGGCCGAUAUCAGAUUAGCUUGUUGGCGGGGUAAAAGCCCACCAAGGCGACGAUCUGUAGCUGGUCUGAGAGGACGACCAGCCACACUGGGACUGAGACACGGCCCAGACUCCUACGGGAGGCAGCAGUGGGGAAUCUUGCGCAAAUGCGGGAAACCGUGACGCAGCGACGCCGCGUGGGGGAAGAAGGCCUUCGGGUUGUAAACCUCUUUCAGGAGGGACGAAGCUACUCGGGUUAAUAGCCCAGAGGGUGACGGUACCUCCAGAAGAAGCCCCGGCUAACUACGUGCCAGCCGCCGCGGUAAUAC